RNAcentral lists this non-coding RNA (157 nucleotides) under Parvibaculum sp. RNAcentral's name for it is "6S RNA". It matches the Rfam family "6S / SsrS RNA". From Rfam's summary of the family: E. coli 6S RNA was the first non coding RNA to be sequenced, but its function was unknown until recently. Lineage: Bacteria; Pseudomonadati; Pseudomonadota; Alphaproteobacteria; Hyphomicrobiales; Parvibaculaceae. The record is from RNAcentral.
CGGGUGCUGCCUGGUACGUCAGGAACACAUACUCUCGGGGCCUUACGGUCCUCAAGGGAGCUGUCCCUGAGGGAGACCGUGGUCUUCUUCAUACGGCGCCCACCUACGUUAGUAGGUCUCCGGGGAACGAAGUUCCAACGGCCAAGGUGGCCCCACC